CCAACCAUUGCAAUUUGCUUAGAAAUCCAUGAGAAAAUAUCACAACUUGGUUUAGGGAAAAUUAGUACAUAAUGGUGUAGUCCAUCUAAAAUAACCGAUCCAAGAACUAAUUACAAAUUACAACACCACAAGGAUGGACUGAACACCAGAGUUCAUUGUAAUAGUUGGAUAGUGCAGGUAGCACUCACAGUUUACUAAUUUUUAACGGCUGUUUACUCAAGUGAUCAAGAGCUCAGACGCUGCUCUGUGACAUCAGAUCACCAUAGAUUCCAUAGCCUCUGUAAGCUUCACGGUCCUCUCAUUCACCUGAAAUAACAUGGGAAGUUAUUUAUGUUUUAAUAUUACUAACCAAGAGAUGGUUAACAAUUAAGUUCUGAAUUUGGAGACCCACUGCCUCCUCCCACAAAUUAAAAGGACUUACUGCCUCCUCCCACAAAUUAAAAGGACAUACGGGCAUGUCCAUCUUUUCUCAAGCCAACCUGUUCCAUCAAGUGUUUGUCUGCCUGCAAUUUUCAUUCCUUGUAGUAGCAAGGAUCCGCAGGGGAGGCCCACACCCAUGUAUGUAAUGUAGUACUCGGUCACUCUGAAGAGCUGAAGUCAGUCCAAUCCAAAGCCCGUAUAAGGGUAGCUGUGCCAACAUCAGUGAAGUGCUACCAUUUGAACAGAUCGGCGCGCCACCAUUUUGAUCUGUUAUGAUCAGAAGUAUUUAAUCUCUUUGUACAUAACGUUUAAUUUUCUUGAUACCUGGAGAAGAAUACCAAUAAACUCAAGGAUCGUACAUCAUGUACAAAGUUGCCAAUAUCAAUAGUUAGUACUGCUAUAUCAUCUGCUUUAUUCUUUCCUUUUUGCAUGAUGGGCUUAUACUUCGGAUGAAGAAUGUCAAUUAUGAAGAUCACUUACUGCGGAC
This 907-nucleotide long non-coding RNA is filed under the name Triticum aestivum (bread wheat). RNAcentral describes it as "long non-coding RNA (TAES_LNC008983)". The record is from RNAcentral. Lineage: Eukaryota; Viridiplantae; Streptophyta; Magnoliopsida; Poales; Poaceae.